This 501-nucleotide ribosomal RNA is filed under the name uncultured bacterium. Its description in RNAcentral is "partial 16S ribosomal RNA". It matches the Rfam family "Bacterial small subunit ribosomal RNA", at positions 30 to 523 of the family's 1533-position model. The record is from RNAcentral.
AUUGAACGCUGGCGGCAGGCUUAACACAUGCAAGUCGAGCGGGGGAAGGUAGCUUGCUACCGGACCUAGCGGCGGACGGGUGAGUAAUGCUUAGGAAUCUGCCUAUUAGUGGGGGGCAACAUCUCGAAAGGGAUGCUAAUACCGCAUACGUCCUACGGGAGAAAGCAGGGGAUCUUCGGACCUUGCGCUAAUAGAUGAGCCUAAGUCGGAUUAGCUAGUUGGUGGGGUAAAGGCCUACCAAGGCGACGAUCUGUAGCGGGUCUGAGAGGAUGAUCCGCCACAUAGGGACUGAGACACGGCCCAGACUCCUACGGGAGGCAGCAGUGGGGAAUAUUGGACAAUGGGGGGAACCCUGAUCCAGCCAUGCCGCGUGUGUGAAGAAGGCCUUAUGGUUGUAAAGCACUUUAAGCGAGGAGGAGGCUACUCUAGUUAAUACCUAGGGAUGGUGGACGUUACUCGCAGAAUAAGCACCGGCUAACUCUGUGCCAGCCGCCGCGGUAA